This 184-nucleotide ribosomal RNA is filed under the name uncultured Eubacteriales bacterium. RNAcentral describes it as "uncultured Clostridiales bacterium partial 16S ribosomal RNA". It matches the Rfam family "Bacterial small subunit ribosomal RNA", at positions 151 to 334 of the family's 1533-position model. Lineage: Bacteria; Bacillati; Bacillota; Clostridia; Eubacteriales. The record is from RNAcentral.
GGGAAACCGGGAUUAAUACCAAAUAAAAUCAUAAUGACACAUGUCAUAACGAUCUAAAACUCUGGUGGUCUAAGAUGGACUCGCGUCCCAUUAGCUAGUUGGUAGAGUAAAAGCCUACCAAGGCGACGAUGGGUAGCCGGCCUGAGAGGGUGAACGGCCACAUUGGAACUGAGAAACGGUCCAA